AUUGAACGCUGGCGGCAGGCCUAACACAUGCAAGUCGAACGGUAACAGGAAGCAGCUUGCUGCUUUGCUGACGAGUGGCGGACGGGUGAGUAAUGUCUGGGAAACUGCCUGAUGGAGGGGGAUAACUACUGGAAACGGUAGCUAAUACCUCAUAACGUCGCAAGACCAAAGAGGGGGACCUUCGGGCCUCUGUCCAUCGGAUGUGCCCAGAUGGGAUUAGCUAGUAGGUGGGGUAACGGCUCACCUAGGCGACGAUCCCUAGCUGGUCUGAGAGGAUGACCAGCCACACUGGAACUGAGACACGGUCCAGACUCCUACGGGAGGCAGCAGUGGGGAAUAUUGCACGAUGGGCGCAAGCCUGAUGCAGCCAUGCCGCGUGUAUGAAGAAGGCCUUCGGGUUGUAAAGUACUUUCAGCGGGGAGGAAGGGAGUAAAGUUAAUACCUUUGCUCAUUGACGUUACCCGCAGAAGAAGCACCGGCUAACUCCGUG
This 490-nucleotide ribosomal RNA is filed under the name uncultured bacterium. RNAcentral describes it as "partial 16S ribosomal RNA". It matches the Rfam family "Bacterial small subunit ribosomal RNA", at positions 30 to 507 of the family's 1533-position model. The record is from RNAcentral.